RNAcentral lists this ribosomal RNA (907 nucleotides) under Cortinarius violaceovolvatus var. violaceovolvatus. RNAcentral describes it as "partial large subunit ribosomal RNA". It matches the Rfam family "Eukaryotic large subunit ribosomal RNA", at positions 64 to 958 of the family's 3401-position model. Lineage: Eukaryota; Fungi; Basidiomycota; Agaricomycetes; Agaricales; Cortinariaceae. The record is from RNAcentral.
ACUAACAAGGAUUCCCCUAGUAACUGCGAGUGAAGCGGGAAAAGCUCAAAUUUAAAAUCUGUCAGCCUUUGGCUGUCCGAGUUGUAAUCUAGAGAAGUGUUAUCCGCGCUGGACCGUGUACAAGUCUCCUGGAAUGGAGCGUCAUAGAGGGUGAGAAUCCCGUCUUUGACACGGACUGCCAGGGCUUUGUGAUGCGCUCUCAAAGAGUCGAGUUGUUUGGGAAUGCAGCUCAAAAUGGGUGGUAAAUUCCAUCUAAAGCUAAAUAUUGGCGAGAGACCGAUAGCGAACAAGUACCGUGAGGGAAAGAUGAAAAGAACUUUGGAAAGAGAGUUAAACAGUACGUGAAAUUGCUGAAAGGGAAACGCUUGAAGUCAGUCGCGUUGUCCAGGGAUCAACCUUGCUUUUGCUUGGUGUACUUUCUGGUUAACGGGUCAGCAUCAAUUUUGACUGUUGGAAAAAGAUCAGGGGAAUGUGGCAUCUUCGGAUGUGUUAUAGCCCUUGGUUGCAUACAAUGGUUGGGAUUGAGGAACUCAGCACGCCGCAAGGCCGGGUUUUAACCACGUACGUGCUUAGGAUGCUGGCAUAAUGGCUUUAAUCGACCCGUCUUGAAACACGGACCAAGGAGUCUAACAUGCCUGCGAGUGUUUGGGUGGAAAACCCGAGCGCGUAAUGAAAGUGAAAGUUGAGAUCCUUGUCAUGGGGAGCAUCGACGCCCGGACCAGACCUUUUGUGACGGUUCCGCGGUAGAGCAUGUAUGUUGGGACCCGAAAGAUGGUGAACUAUGCCUGAAUAGGGUGAAGCCAGAGGAAACUCUGGUGGAGGCUCGUAGCGAUUCUGACGUGCAAAUCGAUCGUCAAAUUUGGGUAUAGGGGCGAAAGACUAAUCGAACCAUCUAGUAGCUGGUUCC